GCCGCGGUUUUGAAAGACAUAGGUAUAGAGUUAGAUAACUAUGAGGAUCAAAUAGAUGCUUUUAAAGAGGAGGAGAAGUUGAGGGCAGUUAUUGCAGAAGCCAACUAUAAAGCACACGUAGAAAAAAUUAACAAUAGGAAUGCUCCUCAAACGGAAGAGGAAAUUCAGGAGUAUGCCAUGGAGGCAAUUUCAAACUCUGAUAGGAAUUGUGAAUGGGAGGGGGCCCAGGAUGGACCUGUGGUACCCGUAACCCAAAAAGGUAAGAGGAAAGGGAGACCGACAAAACCUUCAAAUAUUAUUAAUGAGGUUUCUUAGCUGGAACAUUAGAGGUAUGGGGAACAAAGAGAGAAUCAAUCAACUGAGGGGGUAUAUAUCUCAGGAAAAAAUAGAUAUAAUUGGGAUUCAGGAAACUAUAAAACAAGAUUUCA
This 428-nucleotide unclassified non-coding RNA is filed under the name Zea mays. RNAcentral describes it as "misc RNA Zm00001eb396590". The record is from RNAcentral. Lineage: Eukaryota; Viridiplantae; Streptophyta; Magnoliopsida; Poales; Poaceae.